AAACUGCAUUUACUCCAGUAGGACAGGUACCAGUAACAUAAUGAUUUCAGUACUUAAUACUGCUCUGUGAUUUGCAUAUAAUCUACAUGUACAUUCCCUGUGUGCUUGUGGGGAUAUAAAUAUGAGUGAGUGCAGGCAGGGGCUCAGUGAUCUGUAUCAGGCCUGUGUGCAGUGAUCAGUAUGGUGUCCCACAGCUGCUUGCUGCCUAUACUCAUGCUCUGGCUUCAGGGUUCCUAUGGGCAGACUUGGGUGUCCCAGUCUCCAGAUUAUGUCUCUGUGUCACCAGGAGAAACUGUCACCAUCACAUGUAAAGCCGGAAGCACACUUUCUGGAACACAUGGCAACUAUUUAGCCUGGUACCAACAGAAAUCAGGGCAGGUACCAAAGCUGCUGAUCUAUUUGGCAAGCAAGAGACACACAGGGACCCCAGAGCGGAUCAACGGCAGUCUAACUGGAACUGAUUUCACUCUUACAAUCAGCAGAAUGGAAGCAGAAGAUGCAGCAGAUUAUUACUGUCAUCAGUAUGGUUGGAACCCUCUCACACAGUGAUACAGAGCUGAACAAAAACCUUCCUCUUUUAAAACAUAGAGUAGCACCUUCUCUGUGCAAGAGCCCCAUAGCUUCUCAAAAUAGAAAAAAUGGAAAUAAGUAAACCACAGAUAUAUAAAUAAAUAAAUACAUAAAAUAGAAAAAGGAAGAAGCAGCUGCAGAAUAAAAAGUAGAAUAAAAAUGUAAAUAUUAAGAUUUGUACAGAGGGAGACUCUCUAUGCAAAUCUUUCUGUUAGACACUAGUUCUCUAUUAGGAUUCCUGCAUCAAUGUUUAUUUUAUACAAACAAUCCUAUAAUUGUAUCCAACAACACAGUAUAACCAAUACAGUCCAUUAAUUCCCUCCCAGCAGCCUCUCUGAUCACUGAGCUCUCCCAUUUGAUAUAAUAUCAGGAGGAGCAGCCCAUUGCCAUGAAUAGGAGAAUCGUUUAUAAUCAAAGGUUGAUUUACUAUGAAAUUUUGAGCUGCACAAAGCAGCCAUGCAGAUACUUGAUUUCACAUUCUGGUGAUGCUGGGCAAAUCAAAUUAGCACAUAUUUCAAUAGAUGAGCCAAUUAUGCCAGUGUAUUUGCCCAUAUCAACCAAUCAGAUAUUUCCUUUUGAUUUUAGUACACUAUUAAAAAUUAUAUAGUAUUGCAGAAUCUGCUCACAUUUAUGGGUGGUGCUCUAUCUGGGAACCUUGCUGCAAUCCUUGGUAUCUGUAAUCCAUAUACUCAUAGAAAAUCAGAUUGCACACACAGAAGCAUUCGUGCUAAAUGGUUGAAGUUUUAUUGAGAUCCCCACAACGUUUCGGAG
Molecule: non-coding RNA, 1341 nt
Organism: Xenopus laevis (African clawed frog)
Lineage: Eukaryota; Metazoa; Chordata; Amphibia; Anura; Pipidae
Source: the annotation of a RefSeq genome assembly